Molecule: long non-coding RNA, 2396 nt
Filed under: Citrus maxima (pomelo)
Lineage: Eukaryota; Viridiplantae; Streptophyta; Magnoliopsida; Sapindales; Rutaceae
Description: long non-coding RNA (CMAX_LNC004082)
Source: RNAcentral
AAAAAUAAAAUCUAAUAUUAAUAGUUAUAAAAUCUAAUAAAUAAAAAUACAUGAAAUUUAAUAUAUAUUAUGACUACAAUAUCCAUUUAAAUCAUACAAAGUACAACCACCCUAAUAGCUGAAAUAUACAAACUACACCAUCGCCAAAUUCUGCAAGACAUCUUAAGAUAAGCAAUCACCAAAAACACUUGCACCGAAGUCCAACAUAUAUUCCAUAGGGAUACUUACAUCAUUCCGCUACAAGAUCCAAAUUCUUCACUACCUAAAAACAAUAAUCCACAAAUAAAAACCAAUUUCAGUUUACAGCACAUGUAAUUAACAAAUACAAUUAAUCACAGAAUGUGGCAUUGCUAUCUCCAACAAGUAUUGUAUAGCAGAAAAGGGUCUAUGAAUGUUGCAAGUUUCAUGCCAUUCAAUAAUAAUGAAAUUAUUGAAAUAGUUCCUAAAAUAAAAGCACAAAAACAAAAAAUUUACAGCAUGAGUUGAUAUUUUUAUUAAAUAGAAAAGAGACUAUCUCUCCCAAAUUUAAUUCAUAUGCCAGAAAAGAAGGCAAUCCAUCGCAAAAUAUAAGAGCAUCACCCAAAGGCAAAGGAAAAAUAAAUAGUAAUUAAAUCACUUCUUUCUCUCUCUCUAAUAAAAAGUAAUAAAAUAUAAAUUAAAGAGAGAGAAAACACUUUACAAAAUUGAAGACAGAGAAGCAUUUUUUAUUUGAAGAAUCUUAGUUGUGGAGUGUUUUUGGAUUCUUAAAUGAUGAUGUGGCUUUUCAAAUAAGCAGUAAAAUCUUAUUUGAAAGGGCUUUUGAUGAUGCUCUAAUUAUGAAUGAGAAGCCAUUAAAAGCUAGAGAGCCUUGUUAUUUCUAAUUCUCUAUAUUUUCAUGCUGCAACCACCAGUAAAGUUAGGAGAGUCAAAACAAUGAAAUAUAGCUGUGAUUUUCAAAAGGUUAUGUUGCCAAAAUUGCAGGUUUUGUAGCUAAUAAAGUUAAAGAAAAGCAACUUUAAUUUAUAUGAAUGAUAAAUAAUUUCCAGGGGUAGGAGAGACUGCAGACCAAAAAAUAUAAGGCUUGAGGCUUUAGCUUAGCUAGCUAACAUUUAUUUUAUCACAACAUAAUAUAUUUGAAGCAACUCUAACAAUUUGCAAAAUGUAGGAGCACAAACCUUUUUGAAAGUUAAUUUUCACCGAGUCAAGCUCCUUUUAAGUCAACCAUACAAGCAUAGAAAUUUAAGAUCAGUGCUCUGCAUAAUUGAGAAUUGGUCAGAGAACCAAAAAAAUGAAGGGUGAAAGAAAUUAAAGCAACUUACUAACACCAGGAAAGAAUUUUUCACAUAAAGCCUUUGUCUCAGCCUCUGUCUUGUGGGUGAGUCCAAAACAAAUUAGAAAGUACAUCUAAUAUUAAAGGUGCUAUUAUUAAAAUGACCCAUUGGAAAUCAAACAUCAUUAAACAAUGAUAUUACUUGUCUUAUUAGGUUAAAGUAACUGAACCACCAAGAAAGGAGGAAAAAAUGGAAAAAGUAUCAGGUUCUAACCAUUUUCUCCUAAAUUAUGCAGAGAAAAAUAGUAAUUGAACUAUACAAAUUUCUAAUAGACAUUUAAUCAAACAGAUUACAUGUGCCCAAAUCAUUCGAAAUUGUAAACCAAUUAAGCAUGUUAAAUCAUCAAUUGGCAUUCAAAGUUUCCGAAAUCAUGAUCUCUUAGACGAUAACAGGUAAAAUGUACAAGAUAAUUGAACUUGAAAAUUUUUCAAGAUAAAGCCAAACCCUAACCACCGUGACAGCCACGAGCCACCACUACCUUACCACUUCACAACAUAUCCAAUCACAUGUAAAUCAUACCCAAUCAAUUUCUGCACCCAAAUCUCAAUUUUAAAAAAAAAUUAAACUCACAGGUUUUAAUACAUAAACCCCAAUGUCAGUUUUAAUUUUUUUUCAAAAAAAAAUAAAAAUCAACAACCUUACCUGAAUAUCGAUUGAUUCAUCAAGCAGCAAAAUUGAAAAAAAAAAUUGAUGCUCACAAAUUUCAUUCAUUUGGUAUGGCCCAGCAACCAAAAAUUUAAAAGAAGAAAACAAAUAAGAACAAGAAUAAGGGAUCUUACUGGUUCGAACGGCGGUGGUAGAACUGCUUGGGGUGACGACCAAAAGAUGAAGAGACUAAUAAACAACGUCAAACGAGUGUGCAAUCAAACGUGACGGUUUAAACCGCGGAAGAAUGGUGGCGUUUUGAAUGGCAAACUGGUGGAGAUUUUUUUAAUCGAUUGGGGGUGAAAUUUUAAUUCUAGCGUUCAAGUGAUGAGAGAGCGAGGCAAAUGGAGAGCGGCUUGGUAAAUGAGUAAGGCUAUGUUUGGUAUAAGUUUUCAAGUGGAAUUUUUUUUUUCUUUUUUCUUUUGAUAAGUUGGAUGAACU